RNAcentral lists this transfer RNA (80 nucleotides) under Cronartium ribicola 11-2. RNAcentral's name for it is "tRNA-Ser (TGA) (tRNA-Ser-TGA-5-1)". It matches the Rfam family "tRNA". Rfam says of the family: Transfer RNA (tRNA) molecules are approximately 80 nucleotides in length. Their secondary structure includes four short double-helical elements and three loops (D, anti-codon, and T loops). Lineage: Eukaryota; Fungi; Basidiomycota; Pucciniomycetes; Pucciniales; Coleosporiaceae. The record is from RNAcentral.
GUGUGCGUAGCUCAGUGGUUACACUGCAGGAAAAAUGCUGAAAAUUGAGGCAGUCAUGGGUUCGAAUCCCAUUGCACACA